Molecule: transfer RNA, 87 nt
Filed under: Lentinula edodes (shiitake mushroom)
Lineage: Eukaryota; Fungi; Basidiomycota; Agaricomycetes; Agaricales; Omphalotaceae
Description: tRNA-Glu
Rfam family: tRNA
About the family: Transfer RNA (tRNA) molecules are approximately 80 nucleotides in length. Their secondary structure includes four short double-helical elements and three loops (D, anti-codon, and T loops).
Source: RNAcentral
UCCGAUAUGGUGUAGUGGCUAACAUUAUCGCCUCUCAUCCUAGUGCUUAGUGCGCGAUAGCCCGGGGUUCGAUUCCCCGUGUCGGAA